GGGUCUAUGAUGACAAACCUAUGUCAUGAAGAGAGGUGGUGACAUAAAUAUCAUGCUCUGGUUCUGGCAGCUGAGGCCC
Molecule: small nucleolar RNA, 79 nt
Organism: Mesocricetus auratus (golden hamster)
Lineage: Eukaryota; Metazoa; Chordata; Mammalia; Rodentia; Cricetidae
Gene: SNORD115
Rfam family: Small nucleolar RNA SNORD115
About the family: HBII-52 is a member of the C/D class of snoRNAs, which contain the C (UGAUGA) and D (CUGA) box motifs.
Source: Ensembl